CAAAUGUGCACAGAGGCAUUACUUCACCUCAUCUACUCACCUCCAGCACAGCCAUCUGGGGACGUUCCGGAUGCCAGAGCAAGUGUAUCUGCGUGAGGACACAAGUCCUUUGGUGGUUUGUCAUAAAACAGAGGCCAAUGCACUGAUCACUCCAUCCUACUAAGUCCCUGCAUCACAUGUCUGAUCCUGCGACUGUUUACUUCAAAGCAGAGAAUGUGGAACAAGGAGAGAAGGAAAGCAGCAAGAGGGGUCAGGACCUAAGCCACAGAGGCAUUUUCUUCUUGAUACUAUCAUCAGAAAACCUGAAGCAGCGUGAACAGGCACAAGGAGGCCCUCAGCAUUCGUUCCAGGAAAAAAGGCUGGCAAGCGUCGAGCAGCAGAGGUUGUGCCACGCAGUCGACCCACGAGCUCCGUGUAUGCAUGAACAGGGAGCUCCAGAACACCUCUCAUGGACUAGAGCUCUGUAAUCAGCAGCGGGGACCAGGGAGCCUCAGGCUUCAGCCCUCCGAAAAACUGAUUGCAUCCCAGGAAAAGCCUGAAAAUUUGAACAAGUGUGAAUUGCUGGGUUAUUAACACAAUUCUUCACAAUGGUUUGGGUGCCCUUAGAAGAUUUUCAGCCCCUCCUAGGGAUGAUGCUCGCCUUUCCCUCUGGAGAGGAAUUGCACGGUGAAAGGAGGUCAGGCUUGAGCUUUAGAGCUGUGUUAAAAACCCAGUUCAAUUCUACUACUCACUAAUUCUGGGAACUUCAAAUUUCUAUGUCUUAACCUGUAAAAUAAGGUUAGACAUAGCUCUCUAAUGGGAGUUUGUAAUAAUCGGAGUUACUGUUUAUAAAACACCCAGCAUAGUGUAGCACACAGAGCAUUAUUAUUUUCCACCACUAUGACUAUAGUUGAUGCAGUAUUAAAAGGUAAGAUGCAUAUAUUAACUUCAGUCAACAUAAAGAGAACUUCUGUGUGACCACAUUGCAGCAUAAAGCAAGGAGGAAACGUAAAUCUUCUGAAAAUCCAAUCGUUAUUAACAUAACUAAGAUAAAUGGCACUGCCCACAAUAUACAAAAUAAAAUAUACAAAAUAAGGGAAAAACAUUUGAUCUCUCCAUUUCUUUCCUUCUUUUAUUCUAUUAUUCAAAUUGAUGGAAAAAGUUCAUUCCACUUUUUAAAAAAUAAUUCAAUGCACAGAUACUUAUGAAGUUUCAAUCUAUGACUAUGACUUUAACACAUUCCAAAUUCUUUUCAAAUAUAUUUUAAAUAUAAAAAAUAUACUCAAGUAAAAUGUUUUCACUUAUAAUUUGAUUUCAAGAUGGCAGCCUGAAUCACAAGGUACAAUUCACAGUCCUUCCACAGUAUUUGGCAAUAUGCUUUAGAAGGCAAUAUGCUUAAUGUUUAAAAUCUUGGACUCUGUAGAAGAAAAUUCCAGGACUGUCACUUGCAAGCUGAGUGAAUUUGGCCCAACUGUAAAAUAGUUCUA
Molecule: long non-coding RNA, 1466 nt
Filed under: Aotus nancymaae (Ma's night monkey)
Lineage: Eukaryota; Metazoa; Chordata; Mammalia; Primates; Aotidae
Description: lncRNA (ENSANAG00000039131.1)
Source: RNAcentral